Molecule: ribosomal RNA, 421 nt
Filed under: uncultured bacterium 404-50
Lineage: Bacteria; Bacillati; Actinomycetota; Actinomycetes
Description: bacterial SSU rRNA
Rfam family: Bacterial small subunit ribosomal RNA
Source: RNAcentral
GGCUUCAAGCGUUGUCCGGAUUUAUUGGGCGUAAAGAGUUCGUAGGCGGUCAAGUAAGUCGGGUGUGAAAAUCUGGGGCUUAACCCCAGACCUGCAUUCGAUACGGGCGAGCUAGAGUGUGGUAGGGGAGACUGGAAUUCCUGGUGUAGCGGUGGAAUGCGCAGAUAUCAGGAGGGACACCAAUGGCAAAGGCAGGUCUCUGGGCCAUUACUGACACUGAGGAGCGAAAGCGUGGGGAGCGAACAGGAUUAGAUACCCUGGUAGUCCACGCCGUAAACGGUGGGCACUAGUUGUGGGAACCUUCCACGGUUUCUGCGACGCAGCUAACGCAUUAAGUGCCCCGCCUGGGGAGUACGAUCGCAAGAUUAAAACUCAAAGGAAUUGACGGGGCCCCGCACAAGCAGCGGAGCAUGCGGCUUAA